GAUGAACGCUGGCGGCGUGCCUAAUACAUGCAAGUCGAGCGAACGGACGAGAAGCUUGCUUCUCUGAUGUUAGCGGCGGACGGGUGAGUAACACGUGGAUAACCUACCUAUAAGACUGGGAUAACUUCGGGAAACCGUAGCUAAUACCGGAUACUAUUUUGAACCGCAUGGUUCAAAAUUAAAAGACGUUCUUGCUGUCACUUAUAGAUGGAUCCGCGCUGCAUUAGCUAGUUGGUAAGGUAACGGCUUACCAAGGCAACGAUGCAUAGCCGACCUGAGAGGGUGAUCGGCCACACUGGAACUGAGACACGGUCCAGACUCCUACGGGAGGCAGCAGUAGGGAAUCUUCCGCAAUGGGCGAAAGCCUGACGGAGCAACGCCGCGUGAGUGAUGAAGGUCUUCGGAUCGUAAAACUCUGUUAUUAGGGAAGAACAUAUGUGUAAGUAACUGUGCACAUCUUGACGGUACCUAAUCAGAAAGCCACGGCUAACUACGUG
This 497-nucleotide ribosomal RNA is filed under the name uncultured bacterium. RNAcentral's name for it is "partial 16S ribosomal RNA". It matches the Rfam family "Bacterial small subunit ribosomal RNA", at positions 28 to 507 of the family's 1533-position model. The record is from RNAcentral.